This 272-nucleotide ribosomal RNA is filed under the name uncultured bacterium. RNAcentral describes it as "partial 16S ribosomal RNA". It matches the Rfam family "Bacterial small subunit ribosomal RNA", at positions 524 to 796 of the family's 1533-position model. The record is from RNAcentral.
UACGAGAGGCCCAAACGUUAUUCGGAUUUACUGGGCUUAAAGAGUUCGUAGGCGGUCUGGUAAGUGGGGUGUGAAAGCCCUCGGCUCAACCGAGGAAUUGCGCUCCAAACUGCCAGGCUUGAGGGAGAUAGAGGUGAGCGGAACUGAUGGUGGAGCGGUGAAAUGCGUUGAUAUCAUCAGGAACACCAGAGGCGAAGGCGGCUCACUGGGUCUUUUCUGACGCUGAGGAACGAAAGCUAGGGGAGCAAACGGGAUUAGAAACCCCGUAGUCC